Molecule: long non-coding RNA, 422 nt
Filed under: Androctonus crassicauda
Lineage: Eukaryota; Metazoa; Arthropoda; Arachnida; Scorpiones; Buthidae
Source: RNAcentral
AGGGAGACAUCUAUCCAGCACUUCUUGGUGGAAAAUACUAUCCUAUAUCGCCGGUAUAUUGCUGACAUUCUCCUCGUUACAGAUGUGCCUGUCGACUUGGAGGAUGUGCUCUCCGAUGAAUCCUUAGGAUUGGGAUUGAUUAAGCAGCGAGGGAGUGGCCAAGAGAUUGACUUUCUGGACAUGGAGAUUGGGAUUGUCGGGGGUGGGUGCGAUCUUGGUGUGUGCCGCGGGCACACAUGUGUGCCAAUGUUCGUGCCGGCGGUGUCGCGGGGGCCGUGGACGUUUGGGAUGGCGGCUUUCCGGUCGCUCCUAUACAGAGUGGAUGCGCACUGCACGACAUACCGCAGUAGAAUGGAGGAGCUUGGCUGGAUUGUGGAGCGGGCGGUGCGAAUAGGGUAUGGUGAGGGCGUGAUCCCUAGGUU